Small nucleolar RNA from Dama dama (fallow deer), 129 nucleotides. RefSeq annotates it as small nucleolar RNA SNORA43. The record is from RefSeq and is a predicted model, not a curated record. The transcript has a single exon. Lineage: Eukaryota; Metazoa; Chordata; Mammalia; Artiodactyla; Cervidae.
GGUGGCUUGGGGAGUGGGGAAAGAUGAAUAGAGAUAAGAAAAAGGACGUUGGGGCAGAGAGGAAGCGGCUAUUUCUACGCUCAGUGCUCGGAACCGUGGGCACUAAGAAUGGUUUGUAGCCGGACAUCA